This 493-nucleotide ribosomal RNA is filed under the name uncultured bacterium. RNAcentral's name for it is "partial 16S ribosomal RNA". It matches the Rfam family "Bacterial small subunit ribosomal RNA", at positions 28 to 507 of the family's 1533-position model. The record is from RNAcentral.
GACGAACGCUGGCGGUGUGCUUAACACAUGCAAGUGGUGCGACGAACCAGAGCUUGCUCUGGGGCAAAGCCGCGAACGGGUGAGUAACACGUGGGUAAUCUACCCCGAUGACCGGGACAACCCGAGGAAACUCGGGCUAAUACCGGAUGUGGUGCGGAGACAUAAGUCUCUUCACUAAAGGUAGCUUCGGCUUCCGCAUUGGGAGGGGCCCGCGGCCCAUUAGCUUGUUGGUGGGGUCAAGGCCUACCAAGGCAACGAUGGGUAGCUGGUCUGAGAGGACGAUCAGCCACACUGGGACUGAGACACGGCCCAGACUCCUACGGGAGGCAGCAGUGGGGAAUCUUGCGCAAUGCGCGAAAGCGUGACGCAGCAACACCGCGUGAGGGAAGAAGGCCUUAGGGUUGUAAACCUCUUUCAGAUGGGACGAAGGUUCUCCGGUGAAUAGCCGAGAGGAUUGACGGUACCGACAGAAGAAGCUCCGGCUAACUACGUG